GUCCAGACUCCUACGGGAGGCAGCAGUGGGGAAUAUUGCACAAUGGGGGAAACCCUGAUGCAGCAACGCCGCGUGAGUGAGGAAGUAUUUCGGUAUGUAAAGCUCUAUCAGCAGGGAAUAGAAAAGAAGGUACCUGAAAAAGAAGCCCCGGCUAACUACGUGCCAGCAGCCGCGGUAAUACGUAGGGGGCAAGCGUUAUCCGGAUUUACUGGGUGUAAAGGGAGCGUAGGCGGUUUAGCAAGUCAGAAGUGAAAGCCCGGGGCUCAACUCCGGGACUUCUUUUGAAACUGUUGAACUAGAUUGCAGGAGAGGUAAGUGGAAUUCCUAGUGUAGCGGUGAAAUGCGUAGAUAUCAGGAGGAACACCGGUGGCGAAGGCGGCCUGCUGGACUGCAACUGACGUUGAGGCCCGAAAGCGUGGGGAGCAAACAGGAUUAGAUACCCCGGUA
RNAcentral lists this ribosomal RNA (447 nucleotides) under uncultured bacterium. Its description in RNAcentral is "partial 16S ribosomal RNA". It matches the Rfam family "Bacterial small subunit ribosomal RNA", at positions 329 to 792 of the family's 1533-position model. The record is from RNAcentral.